GCGGGUGUGGCGGAAUUGGCAGACGCACUAGACUUAGGAUCUAGCGCCUUACGGCGUGGGGGUUCGAAUCCCUUCACCCGCA
Molecule: transfer RNA, 82 nt
Filed under: Staphylococcus aureus
Lineage: Bacteria; Bacillati; Bacillota; Bacilli; Caryophanales; Staphylococcaceae
Also listed under: 2 other names
Description: tRNA-Leu
Rfam family: tRNA
About the family: Transfer RNA (tRNA) molecules are approximately 80 nucleotides in length. Their secondary structure includes four short double-helical elements and three loops (D, anti-codon, and T loops).
Source: RNAcentral